GAUUCGUUAGCUCAGUUGGUAGAGCAACGCCCUUUUAAGGCGUGGGUCCUGGGUUCGAGCCCCAGACGAAUCA
RNAcentral lists this transfer RNA (73 nucleotides) under Nonlabens ulvanivorans. RNAcentral's name for it is "tRNA-Lys". It matches the Rfam family "tRNA". From Rfam's summary of the family: Transfer RNA (tRNA) molecules are approximately 80 nucleotides in length. Their secondary structure includes four short double-helical elements and three loops (D, anti-codon, and T loops). The record is from RNAcentral. RNAcentral also lists the same sequence under 4 other names. Lineage: Bacteria; Pseudomonadati; Bacteroidota; Flavobacteriia; Flavobacteriales; Flavobacteriaceae.